RNAcentral lists this unclassified non-coding RNA (348 nucleotides) under soil metagenome. RNAcentral describes it as "partial contains 5.8S ribosomal RNA, internal transcribed spacer 2, and large subunit ribosomal RNA". The stretch from base 1 to 120 matches the Rfam family "5.8S ribosomal RNA", at positions 35 to 154 of the family's 154-position model. The record is from RNAcentral.
GAUGAAGAACGUAGCGAAAUGCGAUAAUUAAUGUGAAUUGCAGAAUUCAGUGAAUCAUCGAGUCUUUGAACGCACAUUGCGCCCCCUGGUAUUCCGGGGGGCAUGCCUGUCCGAGCGUCAUUGCUGCCCUCAAGCCCGGCUUGUGUGUUGGGCCUCGUCCCCCCUCCGCGGGGGACGGGCCCGAAAGGCAGCGGCGGCACCGUGUCCGGUCCUCGAGCGUAUGGGGCUUUGUCACCCGCUCUGUAGGCCCGGCCGGCGCCUUAGCCGACGACACAAUCUUUUUUUUCAGGUUGACCUCGAAUCAGGUAGGAAUACCCGCUGAACUUAAGCAUAUCAAUAAGCGGAGGA